This 1741-nucleotide ribosomal RNA is filed under the name Paramecium sp. paraGC. Its description in RNAcentral is "SSU rRNA". It matches the Rfam family "Eukaryotic small subunit ribosomal RNA". The record is from RNAcentral. Lineage: Eukaryota; Ciliophora; Oligohymenophorea; Peniculida; Parameciidae.
UAAUAUGGUUGAUCCUGCCAGUAGUCAUAUGCUUGUCUUAAAGAUUAAGCCAUGCAUGUCUUAGUAUAAAUAGUAUACAGUGAAACUGCGAAUGGCUCAUUAAAACAGUUAUAGUUUAUUUGAUAGUGCACAUUACAUGGAUAACCGUGGUAAUUCUAGAGCUAAUACAUGCGUAAAUACCUGAAUAUGUAAGGUAGCAUUUAUUAGAUUUAACCAACAUUAUGGUGAAUCAUAGUAACUUGGCGGACCGCGCUAGUCGUGGUAAAUCAUUCAAGUUUCUGCCCUAUCAGCUUUCGAUGGUAGUGUAUUGGACUACCAUGGCAGUCACGGGUAACGGAGAAUUAGGGUUCGAUUCCGGAGAGGGAGCCUGAGAAACGGCUACCACAUCUAAGGAAGGCAGCAGGCGCGUAAAUUACCCAAUCCCAAUUCGGGGAGGUAGUGACAAGAAAUAACGACUCGAGUGGAUUUCCACUUCGGGAUUGCAAUGAGAUAAUUCUAAAAACUUAAACGAUUACCAAUUGGAGGGCAAGUCUGGUGCCAGCAGCCGCGGUAAUUCCAGCUCCAAUAGCGUAUACUUAAGUUGUUGCAGUUAAAAAGCUCGUAGUUGAAAUUCGGGUUAUCUCUAGCAUGGCCCAGGUCGUGUUAGAGGUGAUUCUCCGUCUACAAACUUCUUUGCUCCUUAAAACGUGCAGUUUAGCGAGUAGACAAUUUACCUUGAAAAAAUUAGAGUGUUCCAGGCAGUUCUCGCCGGAAUACAUUAGCAUGGAAUAAUGGAAAAGGACUCUAUCCUUUGUUGGUUUCAGGACAAGAGUAAUGAUUAAUAGGGACAGAUGGGGGCAUUAGUAUUUAAUUGUCAGAGGUGAAAUUCUUGGAUUUAUUAAAGACUAACUUAUGCGAAAGCAUUUGCCAAGAUGUUUUCAUUAAUCAAGAACGAAAGUUAGGGGAUCAAAGACGAUCAGAUACCGUCGUAGUCUUAACUAUAAACUAUACCGACUCGAGAUCGGAAGGGUUACAACUCUUUCGGCAUCGUAAGAGAAAUCAAAGUCUUUGGGUUCUGGGGGGAGUAUGGUCGCAAGGCUGAAAACUUAAAGGAAUUGACGGAAGGGCACCACCAGGGAGUGGAGCCUGCGGCUUAAUUUGACUCAACACGGGGAAACUUACCAGGUCAAAACAUGGAUGGGAUUGACAGAUUGAAAGCUCUUUCUUGAUUCUAUGGGUGGUGGUGCAUGGCCGUUCUUAGUUGGUGGAGUGAUUUGUCUGGUUAAUUCCGAUAACGAACGAGACCUUAACCUGCUAAAUAGUCCGGUUCUGAAUAAGGGCCGCGACUUCUUAGAGGGACUAUGUAUGUAAAUGCAUGGAAGUUUAAGGCAAUAACAGGUCUGUGAUGCCCCUAGAUGUCCUGGGCCGCACGCGCGCUACACUGACACGUUCAGCGAGCUAAUAACCUGUCUCGAAAGAGUAUGGGAAAUCUUGUUAGGACGUGUCGUGCUGGGGAUAGAUCUUUGCAAUUAUAGAUCUUGAACGAGGAAUUCCUUGUAAGCACCGGUCAUCAGCCUGUGCUGAAUACGUCCCUGCCCUUUGUACACACCGCCCGUCGCUCCUACCGAUUUCGAGUGAUGUGGUGAACUAUCUGGACUGCUCGUGGGCAUGAAUCAUGAGCGGGAAGUUUCGUAAACCUUAUCACUUAGAGGAAGGAGAAGUCGUAACAAGGUUUCCGUAGGUGAACCUGCAGAAGGAUCAA